CUUUCCAAUGAUGACCAAACUAAAAACUUUCGUUCUUCUGAUGCGCCACCUCAUGUUGCAAUUUGGAGACCUGAACUAAGGAAAU
Triticum urartu is the source of this 85-nucleotide non-coding RNA. NCBI's taxonomy places the organism in Eukaryota, Viridiplantae, Streptophyta, Magnoliopsida, Poales, Poaceae. The record is from Rfam.